Molecule: long non-coding RNA, 311 nt
Organism: Bombus impatiens (common eastern bumble bee)
Lineage: Eukaryota; Metazoa; Arthropoda; Insecta; Hymenoptera; Apidae
Exons: 2
Source: RefSeq, a predicted model, not a curated record
UCCAGUUACACCUAUUGGGUACAAUACAAUAAAUAACGUAUACCUGUAAUAAUUAAAACAUUUCAAUUUUGAAUACUGAAAAAUAGAUAUUAUUUAUUAUAUAAAAAAUCUAUGAAGUGAUUAAAUUACAUACCUUAGCCAUGUGAGAAAAUAAGGAACAAAUUCAUUGAGAUUCAUAUAGUAAAACAAAUAUCGAAUUAUUUCUGUUAUUGACCAUGCUAAGAUGGCUAAUGGAAGACCAUAAGAUGACGCCGCAUAAUUAUUUGGAGUUGCCAACAAUACACCACUCACUACUAUAAUACGACUAAACA